RNAcentral lists this ribosomal RNA (520 nucleotides) under uncultured Glomus. Its description in RNAcentral is "SSU rRNA". It matches the Rfam family "Eukaryotic small subunit ribosomal RNA", at positions 569 to 1091 of the family's 1831-position model. Lineage: Eukaryota; Fungi; Glomeromycota; Glomeromycetes; Glomerales; Glomeraceae. The record is from RNAcentral.
AGCAGCCGCGGUAAUUCCAGCUCCAAUAGCGUAUAUUAAAGUUGUUGCAGUUAAAAAGCUCGUAGUUGAAUUUCGGGGUUAGUAGGUUGGUCGUGCCACUGGUAUGUACUGGCUCUACUGAUCCCUCCUUCUUGUAGAACCGUAAUGCCAUUAACUUGGUGUUGCGGGGAAACAGGACUGUUACUUUGAAAAAAUUAGAGUGUUUAAAGCAGGCUAACGCUUGAAUACAUUAGCAUGGAAUAAUGAAAUAGGACGCUUGAUCCUAUUUUGUUGGUUUCUAGGAUUGACGUAAUGAUUAAUAGGGAUAGUUGGGGGCAUUAGUAUUCAAUUGUCAGAGGUGAAAUUCUUGGAUUUAUUGAAGACUAACUACUGCGAAAGCAUUUGCCAAGGAUGUUUUCAUUAAUCAAGAACGAAAGUUAGGGGAUCGAAGACGAUCAGAUACCGUCGUAGUCUUAACCAUAAACUAUGCCGACUAGGGAUCGGAUGAUGUUAAUUUUUAAUGACUCAUUCGGCGCCUUAC